AUUCGCAGGAGGGACAGCACUGAAUGGCUUUGCAGGGCCAACUGGAAGACUGGGCAGCAGUCGACAGAAAGGCAUUGUCAGCAAUAUAUCAGCAGCAUGAUCUCUGAGACCUCUGGAAAAUGUGACUUAUUGCCAUUUUCUGGGAACCCUAGAAGGAACUAGCCAGAGUCCAACAUUCUGAGACGUCAUGACCAAGACACUUUUGAUAUAAGAAAACACUUAGUUGUGGAUGCCUAAGAAUUUCAAUGGUUCAGUUUAUUUUCAUCAUCGUGGGAAGCAUGAUAUUGUGCAGUAAGAAUCUCAAAAUAUUCAGCACCCGUCAUCAUGACCCCAACUUCACCCAAAGAAGGAAGCAAGGCUCACAAUGGAGGUCAAACUGUGGACACAGUUCUUUCUUGCUGUCACUAGCUGGAAUGAGAAUCGAUUACCUCAGUCACACUCUACAAAUAUGUCUAGAAAUAUUGGAGAGACCUUAAUCACAAUUCUCUACCUACUCCAUUAUGCAUGCUUCGGCGAUGCAUGUAGAUGUGUAACUGACUGCAAUCAUGUGGUAAAUCCUUUAUUACAGAGAAAACCCCAAGGAAGAAAAGACAUAACAUUUAAACACAUUAUAAUUAUUUUGUUUAUAUCUUGAGAUUGUAAUUACAUCAUUUAUCUUGUUUCUUUCCUCUCGCCAAACCUUCACAUAUAGCUUCUUUGUUCUUUUUUCAAAUUUACAACCUCUUUUGAAAUUAAUUCUUGUGAAAUUCUUGUAUAUGUAUAUAGAGCUGUGUCAGGACAAUAAUAGACAUGCUAAGAAAAACUGAAACAUUUUAAGGCCUUAAAAGCAUUCACUGAGCAGCAAAAAGUUGGUUCUAUGGGUAAAAAGCUUGCCCUGUUAACAUGAGCAAUUGAGUCCUAAUUCCCAGCACUCAAAAUUUAGAGUCAGGCAUAGUGGCCUGAACUUAUAAUUCCAGUGUCUGGGAGUCAGAGGUUGAUGUAUCUCUGAGGCUCAUCUAGCCAAAUUAGUGAGCUUCAAAAACCAAGAUUCACAAGCUAAGAAGAUUGUCAGUUGGUUAAGAUGCUUGCCAACAAAUCUAACAACCUGAGUUCAAUCCCCAAUACCUACGAUAUGGAAGAAGAGAACCAACUUCAUCAAGAAUAUUAUAGAAGAUAUUAAGGUUAAAGAAAAAUCUGUGGCUCCAGGAAGAAAGCUUAACAAAUGGAUGUAUUUUGGGCUAAUGUCCUGAGUUUUAAGUUACUUAUUGUUUUUAGAAUUGAUAGGUGUUUGUUUGUUUUAAGGCGAGUAAAGAGAUUACCCAGAACUUAGAUAGGGAAAAAUUGGUCACUAACUCCAAGUAGAGAGUUGUGAUAAAUGUCUGUAACACCAGGUAGAGUGAACACAGACAUAUAUUAUAGAAGUUAUUAAGUUUAAAGAAAAAUAUGUGGCUCUGGGUAGAGAGCUUAGCAGAUAGAUAAAGUUUGGACUAAAUUCCUGGUUUAAUAUAUUGCUUCUUGAUAUUGGAAUUGAUAGAAGGUAUUUGGUUUUUUUAUGAAUUACUCUGCUCUUUAGCUCAUAUGGCUCAUUGAUGCCGACUAGUGAGGGUUUGUGGUUAUUUUUAUAUCUACCAAAAUAGGAAGCUCAGAUUCUCUUACCAUGGGGUACACAGGAAUUUUGGGUUAAUUUCUUGAUAUCACAGAAUACAAAAGCCUAUCAGGCUCAUUGUUUAGCUUACUUCCUUUUUAAAAAACUGUUUAAUCUUCAUAAUGGGUGUAACUUUGAGUUUUAUGGUUAUAUUAUUACUCUGGGAGAGAAUGCACGAUACAAGCUUUUCUGGUUACAGACUAAGGAAAACAGUAUUUUGGGAGAAAAUUUUGUCUUUGUGGUUUUAAAAAGUGUGAUUAGUCUGUGAAAACCUAACAGAGUCAUACUGAUCAGAUAUGAUAGAGGUAGACCACCCAAAAAAAUUAAUGCAGGAGAAUCAAACAAAAAGGAUUUCGAUUCUAAACUUUGGACUAGACAUAGUGUGCCUACUUGGAUUCCUGGUAUCAAGGACUUUCAGCUGGGUCCAGUCAAGACACAUUGGCUACAGCAUUUGCUUCAUUCUUCCUACCUGCUACUGCCAACGAUAUCUCAAUGCCCAUGUACAGCUUGAAGAAGUUAUAGUAGAGUCGUCACCCCACUUCCCUGGACUUUGGGGGCUGAAAGUGGUUACUCUAAACUUGUCUUUGUGAGGAAUUUAGUAAUGAUUUAAUUUACCAGGGAGGAAUUAGCUAGAUUGAGUUAUACAGUUGUAAUCUCAUUUGUUAAAUAAGCUAAAAUCAUAUCAUUGCUGUGAUAUAAAAUUUAUUUGUUAAAAGUUUAAAAGUACAAGGUUUAGAGCCAGUCCUUCAAUUGAUGUCAUUAUAAACUUCUGAGUUGAUUACACAUGUGAGUUAAGGGCCAAAUAGCAAACAUAUUGUCUACUUUGUGAGAGUACUUUCAAGAUAUUAUUAAGAUAUAAAGACAGCAGUAAAGAUAGUCUUAUAUAGGUAGUUUUCAAAAAUGUCAGAAAUCCACAAAAUAUGAGAUUUAAAGUUAUUUAUCUUUUGGUGAGACAUAUCUGCUCCUAACAGUUCCCCUUUGGAGGA
Molecule: non-coding RNA, 2610 nt
Organism: Rattus norvegicus (Norway rat)
Lineage: Eukaryota; Metazoa; Chordata; Mammalia; Rodentia; Muridae
Source: RefSeq, a predicted model, not a curated record